AUCAAAUUACGUUAUUAACACUCCCAACCUAUAUCAACUGAGGUUUUCCAUAGUUUGACAGAUUAUAUCUACAGUAUUUCAUAGAAAUUUCAUAGAAAACAUUAAAUAGAAAGUACCCCCAAAAUGUUUUUUCCAUUGUUAUCUGAAAGCUAGCCCUGCUGCCUCCAUCUUGGAUCUAAUAUUUGUCAAGCAAGGAAUUCAGGUAGAUUGGAAACUCAGUGGAGGUGGUAGGGGAGUUUAUUGGGGAAGAAAUAUGGCAGUGAGAAUAGAUUUAUUUUGUGGCACCGUGUCAGUUCGUCUUCAGCCACUUUUCGGGUGUAGAAUGGGUGUUAGGUUAACUAGAGGAAGGGUGAAGAGCAGGACA
Perognathus longimembris pacificus (Pacific pocket mouse) is the source of this 364-nucleotide long non-coding RNA. RefSeq lists it as uncharacterized. The transcript is spliced from 3 exons. The record is from RefSeq and is a predicted model, not a curated record. Lineage: Eukaryota; Metazoa; Chordata; Mammalia; Rodentia; Heteromyidae.